GAUGAACGCUAGCGGCAGGCUUAAUACAUGCAAGUCAAGGGGGUAGCAAUACAACCGGCGCACGGGUGAGUAACGCGUACACAACAUACCAUAUACUGGGGUAUAGCUUCGGGAAACUGGAGAUAAUCCCCCAUAACAUUGCGAGAGGGCAUCUGAUUGCAAUUAAAGUUUCGACGGUAUAUGAUUGGUGUGCGUUUGAUUAGCUUGUUGGUAGGGUAACGGCCUACCAAGGCGACGAUCAAUAGCUGGCGUGAGAGCGCGACCAGCCACACUGGAACUGAGACACGGUCCAGACUCCUACGGGAGGCAGCAGUAGGGAAUAUUGGACAAUGGGCGAAAGCCUGAUCCAGCCAUGCCGCGUGAUAGAUGAAGGCCCUCUGGGUUGUAAAUACCUUUAUCUGGGAAGAAACUCCUCUAUUCUUAGAGGCCUGACGGUACCAGAGGAAUAAGCACCGGCUAACUCCGUGCCAGCAGCCGCGGUAAUGUCG
Molecule: ribosomal RNA, 488 nt
Filed under: uncultured bacterium
Lineage: Bacteria
Description: bacterial SSU rRNA
Rfam family: Bacterial small subunit ribosomal RNA
Source: RNAcentral